Long non-coding RNA from Tupaia belangeri chinensis (Chinese tree shrew), 366 nucleotides. RefSeq lists it as uncharacterized. The record is from RefSeq and is a predicted model, not a curated record. The transcript has 3 exons. NCBI's taxonomy places the organism in Eukaryota, Metazoa, Chordata, Mammalia, Scandentia, Tupaiidae.
UCUCAACUAAAAAUCUGUGUUCUUUGAUAGAGUGGUAUAAACUACCUACACAGAAAGGGCCAUGGAAAUUACUGUUUCUUCUGCUGAGUCAGGCGCAAUGCCCUGCACUUUAUAGACUCCAAACACAUAAAUGCUUGUUUAAUGAAUAAGGAAAAAGAUGGAGGAGUGUUUCCGGAGAACCUGUAUGCCAGCACAGCAGCUCUGAUGGUCCAGCUACUCCAGGACACACAUCCAGGAGGGUCAGGCCUUGCAUGCUCUGCCCUCUUCUGCUCUGGAUAAAUGGCUCCAUAAUGGUGGAUGUGGAGGUUGGAGUGUCAAUGACAGUCACUCUCCUGCUGCUCUGGUUUGGGUUGUCUCUAUCCUCUU